Long non-coding RNA from Populus euphratica (Euphrates poplar), 552 nucleotides. RefSeq lists it as uncharacterized. NCBI's taxonomy places the organism in Eukaryota, Viridiplantae, Streptophyta, Magnoliopsida, Malpighiales, Salicaceae. The record is from RefSeq and is a predicted model, not a curated record. The transcript is spliced from 3 exons.
UUCACGAGAUAUAAAUUUUGUUUUAUCAGUCUUAUUUGGAGUUUAAAAACCUAGUUAGGGUGCCCAUAAGCUAUUCAAGAUACCAUCUAUAUAAUAAAAGAAGGCAAAACGAAAGUUCAGAAUUUUGUUUCUUGAUUGCUUGUUGAAGUAGUGUCUUUGAGGCAUAACCAAACAUCACUUUGAAGAAAUAGUGUAUCCUGCAUCUAAGAUUUGUUAAAGAUGAGACCAAAGAUUUAUCUUUUUGGCGACUCCAUCACUGAAGUUUCCUUUGGUGAUGGUGUUUGGGCUGCCUCUCUCAGCAACCAUUUCUCUCGCACGGUUGAUGUGGUGCUGAAAGGGCAUAGCGGGUACAAUACCUGGUGGGCUCUUAAGGUGGCAGAGAGGAUAUUGCCGCCGGUGGGAAGUGGUGGUGCGCCGACUUUGGCUGUUACUGUGUUUUUUGGUGCUAACGAUGCUUGCCUUUCCGAUAGAUACGCUGCCUUUCUACACGUGCCUCUCCAUGAAUACAAGCAGAACCUUCACUCUCUCAUCUCAUUUUUCAAGGUAUAUCAU